GAUGAACGCUAGCGGCAGGCCUAACACAUGCAAGUCGAGGGGCAGCACAGAAACAGCAAUGUUUUGGUGGCGACCGGCGGACGGGUGCGUAACGCGUCUGCAACCAACCUUUAACAGGGGGAUAACGGAGAGAAAUUUCCACUAAUACCCCAUAACAUCGAUCAAGGCAUCUUGAUUGGUUGAAAACUCCGGUGGUUAAAGAUGGGCAUGCGUUGUAUUAGGUAGUUGGUGAGGUAAUGGCUCACCAAGCCUACGAUACAUAGGGGGACUGAGAGGUUAGCCCCCCACACUGGUACUGAGACACGGACCAGACUCCUACGGGAGGCAGCAGUGAGGAAUAUUGGUCAAUGGGGGCAACCCUGAGCCAGCCAUGCCGCGUGCAGGAAGACGGCUCUAUGAGUUGUAAACUGCUUUUAAACAGGGAUAAAGCACAGUAUGUAUACUGUGUUGAAGGUACUGUAAGAAUAAGGAUCGGCUAACUCCGUGCCAGCCGCCGCCGUAA
Molecule: ribosomal RNA, 502 nt
Filed under: uncultured bacterium
Lineage: Bacteria
Description: partial 16S ribosomal RNA
Rfam family: Bacterial small subunit ribosomal RNA
Source: RNAcentral